GCUCUGUCUCUCUCUGUCCCAAAAAUAAAUAAACGUUGUAAAAUAAAUGCUUGAUUGUGCAUCGUUAGACAGGUUUCUUAACCACGGGACUUCUCAGAGACAUUAAUAGGCAUGUGUGCGUUGUUAACUCUGUAAGAGAAGAAUAAGGUAAGAAGCAUUUCCUAAAUUUAUUUGGCCAGAGAACCUUAACCCUGGCACAAAUCAUAACUUAGCACAACACGCCGUUCAUAGGAAGAAUGCUAGAUGGGAUUUUUGAGAUCACUCACUUCAUAGCAUCAGAGAUGAAAAAUCUGAAAGCCAGAGGCAUUUAGGGACUUUCUCAAGGCUGCAGAGAAUGUACAAGCAGGUCAAUUCUGCCUGGGAAUGUUCAGUUCUGCUGUUUGGGGGGCUUCAACGGGCCACAGUGCCUGGCUCCAACUGCAGGGAAGGUGCGGUCCCCAGCCAUGCUACCACACUCUGGUGACAGAGAUGCCCAUGUUCUCUUGGCACACAGGACAUCUGACAACAGACCACGUUAAAAGACCUGGCCAAGGAGAUGAGGCCUACCAUAAUACAAUUUACGACGAGAGCUGAGAGAGAAAAAUAGGUUAUCGGGAGCAAAACAUUCACGGGGCCCUGACCUCACCUUUCAAACUCAGCGGAAGAGAAAGAAACAUACAGCAAAUUGAAUUCCAUACGAAAGCUGAUUCCGUUGGGAAAGACGCAAACUACAUUUCUUCAAAGGUCGUAUUCAAUAAGGAAGAAGGCCCUUCCAGACCCUAACUAGAAAGGCAGAGGG
This is a long non-coding RNA of Herpailurus yagouaroundi (jaguarundi), 778 nucleotides long. RefSeq lists it as uncharacterized. The record is from RefSeq and is a predicted model, not a curated record. Lineage: Eukaryota; Metazoa; Chordata; Mammalia; Carnivora; Felidae. The transcript is spliced from 2 exons.